Molecule: ribosomal RNA, 460 nt
Filed under: uncultured bacterium
Lineage: Bacteria
Description: partial 16S ribosomal RNA
Rfam family: Bacterial small subunit ribosomal RNA
Source: RNAcentral
CCUACGGGGGGCAGCAGUGAGGAAUAUUGGUCAAUGGGCGUAAGCCUGAACCAGCCAAUUCGCGUGAGGGAUGAAGGUUCUAUGGAUCGUAAACCUCUUUUAUAAGGGAAUAAAGUGCGGGACGUGUCCCGUUUUGUAUGUACCUUAUGAAUAAGGAUCGGCUAACUCCGUGCCAGCCGCCGCGGUAAGACGGAGGAUCCGAGCGUUAUCCGGAUUUAUUUGGUUUAAAGGGUGCGUAGGCGGCCUUUUAAGGCAGCGGUGAAAGUCUGUGGCUCAACCAUGGAAUUGCAGUUGAAACUGGGUGGCUUGAGUGCGUCAGAGGCAGGCGGAAUGCGUGGUGUAGCGGUGAAAUGCGUAGAUAUCACGAAGAACCCCGAUUGCGAAGGCAGCCUGCCAGGCCAUAACUGACGCUGAUGCACGAAAGCGUGGGGAUCAAACAGGAUUAGAUACCCUAGUAGUC